RNAcentral lists this ribosomal RNA (429 nucleotides) under Chloroflexota bacterium. RNAcentral's name for it is "Chloroflexi bacterium partial 16S ribosomal RNA". It matches the Rfam family "Bacterial small subunit ribosomal RNA", at positions 355 to 776 of the family's 1533-position model. The record is from RNAcentral. Lineage: Bacteria; Bacillati; Chloroflexota.
UGGGGUAUAUUGCACAAUGGGCGCAAGCCUGAUGCAGCCAUGCCGCGUGUGUGAAGAAGGCCUUUGGGUUGUAAAGCACUUUCAGCGGGGAGGAAGGCGGUGAGGUUAAUAACCUCAUCGAUUGACGUUACCCGCAGAAGAAGCACCGGCUAACUCCGUGCCAGCAGUCGCGGUAAUACGGAGGGGGCAAGCGUUCAUCGGAAUUACUGGGCGUAAAGCGCACGCAGGCGGUCUGUCAAGUCGGAUGUGAAAUCCCCGGGCUCGACCUGGGAACUGCAUUCGAGACUAGCAGGCUAGAGUCUUGUAGAGGGGGGUAGAAUUCCAGGUGUAGCGGUGAAAUGCGUAGAGAUCUGGGGGGAUACCGGUGGCGAAGGCGGCCCCCUGGACAAAGACUGACGCUCAGGUGCGAAAGCGUGGGGAGCGAACAGG